RNAcentral lists this ribosomal RNA (469 nucleotides) under uncultured bacterium. RNAcentral describes it as "bacterial SSU rRNA". It matches the Rfam family "Bacterial small subunit ribosomal RNA", at positions 28 to 507 of the family's 1533-position model. The record is from RNAcentral.
GAUGGACGCUGGCGGCGUGCCUAACACAUGCAAGUCGAACGGAAUUUACAUGAAGCCUAGCGAUUGUAAAUUUAGUGGCGGACGGGUGAGUAACGCGUGGGUAACCUGCCUUGUACUGGGGGACAACAGUUGGAAACGACUGCUAAUACCGCAUAAGCGCACGGUAUCGCAUGAUACAGUGUGAAAAACUCCGGUGGUAUAAGAUGGACCCGCGUCUGAUUAGCUAGUUGGUGAGGUAACGGCCCACCAAGGCGACGAUCAGUAGCCGGCCUGAGAGGGUGAACGGCCACAUUGGGACUGAGACACGGCCCAAACUCCUACGGGAGGCAGCAGUGGGGAAUAUUGCACAAUGGGGGAAACCCUGAUGCAGCGACGCCGCGUGAGUGAUGAAGUAUUUCGGUAUGUAAAACUCUAAUCAGCAGGGAAGAUAAUGACGGUACCUGACUAAGAAGCACCGGCUAAAUACGUG